GGGAAUAUAAUAUUUAGAUUAAUCUUGGGUGAAAUAAUGUCGCUGUCUAUAUGUCUCUUAAAAGUUUGUGAUAAACUGCUUAAUGGAUAAGGAGUUAUC
Chelonoidis abingdonii (Abingdon island giant tortoise) is the source of this 99-nucleotide non-coding RNA. Lineage: Eukaryota; Metazoa; Chordata; Testudines; Testudinidae. The record is from RefSeq and is a predicted model, not a curated record.